UCCUCCUUACGGAGGCAGUUUGUUUCGAGUUCCCGACAUUACUCGCUGGCAACAAAACAUGAGGGUUGCGCUCGUUGCGGGACUUAACCCUACAUUUCACAACACGAGCUGACGGCAGCCAUGCACCACCUGUGUACCACCCUCGAAGGCGGCUCCUUUUGGGGAGAUUGCAGGUACAUGUCAAGCCCUGGUAAGGUUCUUCGCGUUGCAUCGAAUUAAGCCACAUGCUCCACCGCUUGUGCGGGCCCCCGCCAAUUCCUUUGAGUUUCAACCUUGCGACCGUACUCCCCAGGCGGUGUGCUUAACGCGUUAGCUGCGCCACCGAGACACUAAGUGCCCCAACGGCUAGCACACAUCGUUUACGGCGUGGACUAC
RNAcentral lists this unclassified non-coding RNA (375 nucleotides) under uncultured bacterium. RNAcentral's name for it is "contains 16S-23S intergenic spacer region". The record is from RNAcentral.